Molecule: ribosomal RNA, 274 nt
Filed under: uncultured bacterium
Lineage: Bacteria
Description: partial 16S ribosomal RNA
Rfam family: Bacterial small subunit ribosomal RNA
Source: RNAcentral
AUACAGAGGGUGCGAGCGUUAAUCGGAAUUACUGGGCGUAAAGCGCGCGUAGGCGGUUUGGUCAGUCGGAUGUGAAAGCCCCGGGCUUAACCUGGGAAUUGCAUUCGAUACUGCCAAGCUAGAAUGUAGUAGAGGGAAGUGGAAUUCAGGGUGUAGCGGUGAAAUGCGUAGAGAUCCUGAGGAACAUCAGUGGCGAAGGCGACUUCCUGGACUAACAUUGACGCUGAGGUGCGAAAGCGUGGGGAGCAAACAGGAUUAGAAACCCCAGUAGUCC